UAAUAUGAAUAGAAAAAAAGAAGCCCUGCGUGAACAGGACUUCCUAGUAGAACCGUUAGACGGUAGCAUAAACUAAGAUAAAAUA
RNAcentral lists this small RNA (85 nucleotides) under Ligilactobacillus pobuzihii. RNAcentral describes it as "Lactobacillus pobuzihii RNA anti-toxin A". It matches the Rfam family "RNA anti-toxin A". Lineage: Bacteria; Bacillati; Bacillota; Bacilli; Lactobacillales; Lactobacillaceae. The record is from Rfam by way of RNAcentral.